This 76-nucleotide microRNA precursor is filed under the name Notamacropus eugenii (tammar wallaby). RNAcentral's name for it is "miRNA (ENSMEUG00000017878.1)". The record is from RNAcentral. Lineage: Eukaryota; Metazoa; Chordata; Mammalia; Diprotodontia; Macropodidae.
GUGCUAAGUGCUGGGGAUACAAAGAGAGGCAAAAGAUGGUCUCUGUCCCCAAGGAGCUCACAGUCUAAUGGAGGGA